CCUACGGGUGGCAGCAGUGAGGAAUAUUGGUCAAUGGGCGAGAGCCUGAACCAGCCAAGUAGCGUGAAGGAUGACAGCCCUACGGGUGGUAAACUUCUUUUAUAAAGGAAUAAAGUGAGGCACGUGUGCGAUUUUGUAUGUACCAUAUGAAUAAGGAUCGGCUAACUCCGUGCCAGCAGCCGCGGUAAUACGGAGGAUCCGAGCGUUAUCCGGAUUUAUUGGGUUUAACGGGAGCGUAGUGGGGUUGUUAAGUCAGUUGUGAAAGUUUGCGGCUCAACCGUAAAAUUGCAUUUGAUACUGGCAGCCUUGAGUACAGUUGAGGUCGGCGGAAUUCGUGUUGUAGCGGU
This 347-nucleotide ribosomal RNA is filed under the name uncultured bacterium. Its description in RNAcentral is "partial 16S ribosomal RNA". It matches the Rfam family "Bacterial small subunit ribosomal RNA", at positions 338 to 682 of the family's 1533-position model. The record is from RNAcentral.